RNAcentral lists this ribosomal RNA (450 nucleotides) under uncultured bacterium. RNAcentral's name for it is "bacterial SSU rRNA". It matches the Rfam family "Bacterial small subunit ribosomal RNA", at positions 328 to 794 of the family's 1533-position model. The record is from RNAcentral.
CGUCCAGACUCCUACGGGAGGCAGCAGUGGGGAAUAUUGCACAAUGGGGGAAACCCUGAUGCAGCGACGCCGCGUGAGUGAAGAAGUAUUUCGGUAUGUAAAGCUCUAUCAGCAGGAACGAGACAAGACGGUACCUGACUAAGAAGCCCCGGCUAACUACGUGCCAGCAGCCGCGGUAAUACGUAGGGGGCAAGCGUUAUCCGGAAUCACUGGGUGUAAAGGGAGCGUAGACGGCUGUGCAAGCCUGAAGUGAAAGCCCGGGGCCCAACCCCGGGACUGCUUUGGAAACUGCCAUGCUAGAGUGCUGGAGAGGUAAGCGGAAUUCCUAGUGUAGCGGUGAAAUGCGUAGAUAUUAGGAGGAACAUCAGUGGCGAAGGCGGCUUACUGGACAGUAACUGACGUUGAGGCUCGAAAGCGUGGGGAGCAAACAGGAUUAGAUACCCUAGUAUU